RNAcentral lists this ribosomal RNA (497 nucleotides) under uncultured bacterium. Its description in RNAcentral is "partial 16S ribosomal RNA". It matches the Rfam family "Bacterial small subunit ribosomal RNA", at positions 28 to 507 of the family's 1533-position model. The record is from RNAcentral.
GAUGAACGCUGGCGGCGUGCCUAAUACAUGCAAGUCGAGCGAACAGAUAAGGAGCUUGCUCCUUUGCCGUUAGCGGCGGACGGGUGAGUAACACGUGGGUAACCUACCUAUAAGACUGGGAUAACUUCGGGAAACCGGUGCUAAUACCGGAUCAUAUUUCGAACCGCAUGGUUCGAUAGUGAAAGAUGGUUUUGCUAUCACUUAUAGAUGGACCCGCGCCGUAUUAGCUAGUUGGUAAGGUAACGGCUUACCAAGGCGACGAUACGUAGCCGACCUGAGAGGGUGAUCGGCCACACUGGAACUGAGACACGGUCCAGACUCCUACGGGAGGCAGCAGUGGGGAAUCUUCCGCAAUGGGCGAAAGCCUGACGGAGCAACGCCGCGUGAGUGAUGAAGGUCUUCGGAUCGUAAAACUCUGUUAUUAGGGAAGAACAUAAGUGUAAGUAACUGUGCACGUCUUGACGGUACCUAAUCAGAAAGCCACGGCUAACUACGUG